Molecule: long non-coding RNA, 334 nt
Organism: Haliotis rufescens (red abalone)
Lineage: Eukaryota; Metazoa; Mollusca; Gastropoda; Lepetellida; Haliotidae
Exons: 2
Source: RefSeq, a predicted model, not a curated record
AAUAUGGCUAUCCAUCUGGAAGUGUCACGGUCUAUGCAAUAAAUCUUGACACCAAAGCAGCGUCCGUCACCUUUCCAAAAUCCUUAAACAGUCGCAUGGAGUUGUUUUGGCUGUCCGCAGUCGGUGACGACCCCCGAGCAAAGAAUGUACUUCUGAACCGCGUACAAUCUCUAUAUAUGGUGAACAACAAGAUCCCUGUCUUCCGACCUCGAUCCAAGACAGGAGGACCACUCCUCCUGCCCCCGCGGACAUACGGCUUUGUUGUCUUCCCUGAUGCUGAUGUCGCUGUCUGUCACUGAUGAGUGACCGUAAAUAAAACAUCUCUUGCAUGACA